Long non-coding RNA from Gasterosteus aculeatus aculeatus (three-spined stickleback), 2423 nucleotides. The record is from Ensembl. NCBI's taxonomy places the organism in Eukaryota, Metazoa, Chordata, Actinopteri, Perciformes, Gasterosteidae.
AUUGCAGGGCUACACAGAGACCAACUAACAUUCAAACUCACAUCCACACACCUACGGGCAAUUUAGAGCCACCAAUUAACCUGAUCCCCAGAGCAUGUCUUUAGACUGUGGGAGGAAGCCAGAGGACCCGGAGAGAACCCACGCCGACAGGGGGAGAAUAUGCAGACUGCACAGAGAAAGGCCACAGGGAGAAGUCGAACUCAGGACAUUCUUGCUGUGAGGCGACAGUGCUAACCAUGACCCCACUGUGCAGCCCGUAUGGCAUUCCAAUAUAUUUAAAGGCUUUGCUUCGAAUUCAGCAUUCUGCAAAUGUGCUUCUUCCCCUUUCUGAGAGACAUCAAUUUCAGAUUGCAAAUUUACAUUUACACGCACGUGGCUUCAGCAGACGUCUCUAUUGGACAUAAUAAAUGUUUACACUCUUUACAUUGAUGUUUUUACCAAGGAUAUCUCAAAUAAUCUAAAUGGUGAUACUGCAAGACAAGUUCAUCUUUGUUGGGAUGAGGUCAGCCUGUGAGAUUAUAACUCAAUGAUUUGAAUAAUAAAUAAUCUUUUUCAAUGUGUAGCCAGUGAGAAAAUGUCCUUCCUGAGCUACUGUAGGUUCAGGCAGGCCUUGGUACCUCCUACUUCCUGGUUCACCCAUUAGAAAGGGUAUAAAGCUGCCCAUAAUGAAGCUGCUUUUGGCAUGCUUGUCCCUUUCUGUGUUGGAGAGUGGCUGGAGAAGCCAGUGAGCUGGUAGGUGUUUUCAUUCUCAGUUCUUAUUAAAAUGGUUUGGCCAUUGGUGAUCUUUCUGUUUGUGUCUCCCAGCUCGUCAGGGAGGCCCAAACCAUGUGUGAGCCAUACCAGGUGGAGGAGCCUCAAAGUUGUCUGCAGAGUAGCAUCCCAGAUGGUGGGUCUGGUGGCUGGGCCUUUAAUCUGCUCAUCCCAUUGUCCGUUUGUCUGUAUUCUUUUUACAUAGCAUGCCUCUAUUUUAUAUUGUUUGUGUGGAGAAACUGAGUCGGUGAGUGCCCUGUGCCAGAGCCUGUCCCUGUUCCUGCCCCGGUGCAGCCUAGUCACCAGUAGCACUCAAUUUGUUUGUAGAGGUGCAUUUGGUUAUUUCUACAGCUGAUGGAAAUUGGUGUAAUCGUUUUGUAUGCUUACUAUAUUUUAACUAAAUGUUGAAAUCUGGGAAUACUUUUUCCUCAGUCUGACUUCAGUCACCUGUUGAUCCGUGGUUGUUGGAUAAUUUAUGAGGAAAUAUUUAACCCUGUGCUACCGGUGGUUACAAAUGUAUUUCUUCCAGUUGCUCAACUUCUCAUGACUUGAUCUACACACUAUGCAUCAGCUAAAACUAAUGCAUUCUAAUACAACAGCCCUAAAACUAUUUCUCCCGCAUUCUCUUGUAUCUGUCGACAGCCCAAAUAGAAAUCUGCUAAUGGUACCCCUAGAGGGGAUUUACUUGCACGUUGAACUUUACUAAUUGCUUGUGAUCUCUUCUCAGACUGCUAUGGCUGGUUCUACACCUGCAGAAUCAAGAUGACCAAUGGAAAAACUAAAACUUCCAAUGUUCGGAAGUUAGGGUUGGUUCAAAAUGCGUUUGGCAAGAAACCUGGUGGAGACCGUGGUGCCAUGAAAGCAAACAAAAGGACGGUCCAGAGAGUUGGUCGAGCAGUUUCAGCCUCCUCUGACGGUGGAAAUUACCAGCACUCUUUAGUGAUUUGAGAGAACGGUAAGACUUUUUUCCAGUAUGGUUUUUGAUAUGUAAUGCUUGUCAUGCAGGCUGUGUGACGGGUCUAAUAAAACAUUCCUUUUCAAACCGUCAAGAGCCUGACUGUUGUAUAAUGUGUUAACUGUAUCUUCUAAAAUGUGGUUGAUGUCCUGAACUAUGCCACCCUCUUUAGCUGCUUCAUUUAAAUUUGGCAGCUGUUUGCUCGUACAGGGAAACUCCAAUCAAUGUUCAGAAAACAUUCCGGUUGGGUAAAGUAGUUCUGUGAUUCCACGCAGGAUGAUCCAGAGAAGACAACAGGGUCCUGCCUUCGGCUCCCUAGGAGCGGCCAAGCAACUUCAGCCUCCUGUGAAAAUUGAGAGGUAAGACCCUUUCUCAGUACUGCUUUUCAUGUCCUGCUGUGAAAGUCUAAUAAAAUGUUAGAAUGCCAGACGGUUGGUUGGUUAACUGCAUCUGCUGCUAAUAUAUACUGAACUAAUUCAGUUUUUAUCUGCGCUUUCCCAGUGUGUAAAAAGAUGCAUUCUUGUCAGUGUUUAAAUAUUUCUUGUUUGCUGAAGUACUGUUGUGCUACCACACAGGACGAUUCAGAGAACACUACAGGCUCCUGCUUCAGAGGCAUGCAGCUUUAGCCUCCUGUGGAAAUUGCCUUAUGCUCCUGCAAAAUUAGCGAUUUGACUAACUGGAUGAUAGAAUCCAACUCUCUACAGGCUUUGGCAAAAGG